CCUACGGGGGGCAGCAGUGAGGAAUAUUGGUCAAUGGACGCAAGUCUGAACCAGCCAUGCCGCGUGCAGGAAGACGGCUCUAUGAGUUGUAAACUGCUUUUGUACGAGGGUAAACGCAGAUACGCGUAUCUGUCUGAAAGUAUCGUACGAAUAAGGAUCGGCUAACUCCGUGCCAGCAGCCGCGGUAAUACGGAGGAUUCAAGCGUUAUCCGGAUUUAUUGGGUUUAAAGGGUGCGUAGGCGGUCGGAUAAGUUAGAGGUGAAAUCCCGAGGCUCAACUUCGGAAUUGCCUCUGAUACUGUUCGGCUAGAGAGUAGUUGCGGUAGGCGGAAUGUAUGGUGUAGCGGUGAAAUGCUUAGAGAUCAUACAGAACACCGAUUGCGAAGGCAGCUUACCAAGCUACUUCUGACGUUGAGGCACGAAAGCGUGGGUAGCAAACAGGAUUAGAUACCCUAGUAGUC
RNAcentral lists this ribosomal RNA (460 nucleotides) under uncultured bacterium. RNAcentral's name for it is "partial 16S ribosomal RNA". It matches the Rfam family "Bacterial small subunit ribosomal RNA", at positions 338 to 795 of the family's 1533-position model. The record is from RNAcentral.